GCUCAGGAUGAACGCUGGCGGCGUGCUUAACACAUGCAAGUCGAGCGAAGCACUUUUGCUGAUUUCUUCGGAUUGAAGCAAUUGUGACUGAGCGGCGGACGGGUGAGUAACGCGUGGGUAACCUGCCUCAUACAGGGGGAUAACAGUUGGAAACGGCUGCUAAUACCGCAUAAGCGCACAGUACCGCAUGGUACCGUGUGAAAAACUCCGGUGGUAUGAGAUGGACCCGCGUCUGAUUAGCUAGUUGGUGGGGUAACGGCCUACCAAGGCGACGAUCAGUAGCCGACCUGAGAGGGUGACCGGCCACAUUGGGACUGAGACACGGCCCAAACUCCUACGGGAGGCAGCAGUA
Molecule: ribosomal RNA, 352 nt
Filed under: uncultured bacterium
Lineage: Bacteria
Description: bacterial SSU rRNA
Rfam family: Bacterial small subunit ribosomal RNA
Source: RNAcentral